This 253-nucleotide ribosomal RNA is filed under the name uncultured bacterium. RNAcentral's name for it is "partial 16S ribosomal RNA". It matches the Rfam family "Bacterial small subunit ribosomal RNA", at positions 524 to 776 of the family's 1533-position model. The record is from RNAcentral.
UACAGAGGGUGCAAGCGUUAAUCGGAUUUACUGGGCGUAAAGCGUGUGUAGGUGGUUGGGAAAGUCAAUUGUGAAAGCCCAGGGCUUAACUCUGGAACUGCUUUUGAUACUGUCUGACUAGAAUUCGGUAGAGGGAGGCGGAACUCCAGGUGUAGCGGUGAAAUGCGUAGAUAUCUGGAAGAACACCAAUGGCGAAGGCAACCUCCUGGGCCUGAAUUGACACUGAGACACGAAAGCGUGGGGAUCAAACAGG